This 73-nucleotide transfer RNA is filed under the name Aerococcus sanguinicola. RNAcentral's name for it is "tRNA-Val". It matches the Rfam family "tRNA". From Rfam's summary of the family: Transfer RNA (tRNA) molecules are approximately 80 nucleotides in length. Their secondary structure includes four short double-helical elements and three loops (D, anti-codon, and T loops). The record is from RNAcentral. Lineage: Bacteria; Bacillati; Bacillota; Bacilli; Lactobacillales; Aerococcaceae. RNAcentral also lists the same sequence under 5 other names.
GGAGAAUUAGCUCAGCUGGGAGAGCGUCUGCCUUACAAGCAGGAUGUCGGGGGUUCGAUCCCCUCAUUCUCCA